AUUUAGUUAUGAAUGCUGAUGGGCCCUAUUUAGUGAUGAAUGGUGAUGGAGUAGGAUCCAUAAUAGAGGCACUGUUGUAUUAUAUUGAUUAUUUUGGAU
This is a non-coding RNA of Chelonoidis abingdonii (Abingdon island giant tortoise), 99 nucleotides long. Lineage: Eukaryota; Metazoa; Chordata; Testudines; Testudinidae. The record is from RefSeq and is a predicted model, not a curated record.